This 1680-nucleotide long non-coding RNA is filed under the name Oryctolagus cuniculus (rabbit). RNAcentral's name for it is "lncRNA (ENSOCUG00000031491.1)". The record is from RNAcentral. Lineage: Eukaryota; Metazoa; Chordata; Mammalia; Lagomorpha; Leporidae.
AUGCUUCUGUUGUAUUCCCUGCAGGUCCUGUGUGGACUCCAGCUCGCUGUGUCCGACCCACACGACACAAUGAGUUGGCACCAGCAACGUCAGGAUCUGAUUCCUGCUUUCUGGCUAAAGUUGGAAGACAAAGAGCCAGUGCUGUUAUUUCACCCGCCAUUGGAGAACCAGGAAACAAAGCAACCUCAUCAAAAACUUCCCCAGGUGGAUCGGCCAUCAAUCACCUGGGGAGAUGUGAAGUCCUCGAUUGCUUCUGCACACCUACGCUUGGCUCAAGAUCGUGGUACAGAGACUCAUGAGACUUUGCUUACUGCCAUUUCUACUCAGCUUACCUGUAAUUCUACUUUGGUUUUGUUGCUCUUUAUGCUAUGUUUCUCUGUUCCCAUUGGCUUAGCUUGUUUAACUACGGUUACUCCGGAAGUUGAGAUACCCUUAGGGAGUCCUGUGUUACUUUCUUGUUUUUGGAAUUGCUCUCGUCCAUCCUCCUGGGGGUCCACUUGGUUGUUCAAUGGUAAAGGUUUGGGCCCUGAUUGGUUCAAGAUUCAGGAACAACCUAAAGUGGGAGAGAAGGAAAAACCAUUAGAUUUAUCCCGAGGAAAAAAAGAAACUGGACCAGAGGAUGCAGGACGUUAUUCCUGCCAUUUGAUUGACAAUUCUGAUGAUGUGCCCCAUUUUUAUGUAAUUAAUAUAACUGUGUCUUUUAGUGUUCAUUCUACCGGGUUGGGUCUUCAAGAUAACUUGUGGGUAUAUUUAGCUAGGUCUGUUCUUAAUCAUACCUCUUUUUGUGUGCGGGAAGGUAACUCUCCCACAAAUAUUUUGGCUAAUAAUUUGGUGGGGAUUGGAGUUACCGUUUCCAUGUUUGAAAAAGAAACUAAACAUAGCCUUUUUCAAUAUAUGAAUGCCACUCUUACACAUCCUAUACCUUUACUUCCUCUUUCCUUUAGCUUACAUAAAAAUGAUAGUUUUGUAAGAUUCAAUUCCUCUAUUAUUUUGCCUAUAGGGUGGGCUUUUUUAUGUUCUAAUUACUCUUAUCAGGCCCUACCCCCAUCCUAUUCUGGCCUUUGUUCCAUAGGAAGAGUUGUGCCUGCCUUACUUCCCCCUUUGCCCUCCUCUCAAAGACAAGUUCAUGGUCAACACUCCUUGCGCCCUGAUUGUGAUGCUAAUUUAGAUUUGCUUAGUAUUUCAUCUGUCGCUGCUGCAGCGGCCUAUGUUUAUCCCAUUCCUGCUUUAACCUUUGGCACAUAUGGUGCCCUGGGAGAGCUUGCCUGUAUUUUAGAGAAAACUGCCAACGCCACUGCUGCUGCUUUGUCGCAUGUUAAUAUAGAGCUAAACCAAGUGUGUGAGGGCAUGUUGCAAAACCGGGCAGCCAUCGACUAUUUAUUGUUGAAGCAUCACAUUGGGUGUCAACAAUUCCCUGGAUUAUGUUGCUUUAAUAUUACAGAUAAUUCUAAUUUGAUUCAAAAAGGAACUGGUAAGAUUAAACAAGAAGCUUUUAAUCUUCGUCUUGGUCCAAAGUGGUGGCAGCUGGGCUCGUGGUUAAAUUGGUUAUUGCCUUUUGCUGUUCCUGUGUUGAUUAUUUUGGUAUUGUGCCUUUUUUGGCCCUGUAUUAUUUCACGUAUUUCUGCACUGGUUUCCCGAAAUCUUAGAGCUUUACUAAAAACAAAGAAAGGGGGGAUGUAG